AAUAUGCGAUUGCAAUUUAGAACCUUGGAUCAUUGAUUAAUCCAUUCUCAUUCUUCUAUUGCAAAAUUUAGAACCCAACAAUCAUCAUUCUAAUCAGUGAUGUAUAAAACCUUGAAUCAUUGAUCAAUUCACCACCCUUCUUCUUCUACAAAAUUUAGAAUCUGACACACAUCAUGCUCCUCAGUGCUGAAAUAAGGCCUCUUCCCAACCAAUUCAGCAACUCUCUUCGCAACACCAAAGUUUAGUUAAAUGGAUCCUUACCAAAAAUAAC
This 271-nucleotide long non-coding RNA is filed under the name Phaseolus vulgaris (common bean). RNAcentral's name for it is "long non-coding RNA (PVUL_LNC005138)". The record is from RNAcentral. Lineage: Eukaryota; Viridiplantae; Streptophyta; Magnoliopsida; Fabales; Fabaceae.